Molecule: ribosomal RNA, 250 nt
Filed under: uncultured bacterium
Lineage: Bacteria
Description: partial 16S ribosomal RNA
Rfam family: Bacterial small subunit ribosomal RNA
Source: RNAcentral
AACGUAGGACACAAGCGUUAUCCGGAGUUACUGGGCGUAAAGAGCGCGUAGGCGGUUUGUUAAGUCUGCUAUGAAAGCACCUGGCUAAACUGGGUGAGGCUGGCGGAUACUGGCAAGCUAGAGUGAGACAGAGGCAGAUGGAAUUCCGCGUGUAGUGGUGAAAUGCGUAGAGAUGCGGAGGAACACCAGUGGCGAAGGCGGUCUGCUGGGUCUCAACUGACGCUGAGGCGCGAAAGCGUGGGGAGCGAAC